Molecule: ribosomal RNA, 524 nt
Filed under: uncultured bacterium
Lineage: Bacteria
Description: partial 16S ribosomal RNA
Rfam family: Bacterial small subunit ribosomal RNA
Source: RNAcentral
GACGAACGCUGGCGGCGUGCCUAAUACAUGCAAGUCGAGCGCAGGAAGCUGACGGAACUCUUCGGAGGGAAGGCAGUGGAAUGAGCGGCGGACGGGUGAGUAACACGUAAGGAACCUGCCUCAAGGAUUGGGAUAACUCCGAGAAAUCGGAGCUAAUACCGGAUAGUUCAACGGACCGCAUGGUCCGCUGAUGAAAGGCGCUUCGGCGUCACCUUGAGAUGGCCUUGCGGUGCAUUAGCUAGUUGGUGGGGUAACGGCCUACCAAGGCGACGAUGCAUAGCCGACCUGAGAGGGUGAUCGGCCACACUGGGACUGAGACACGGCCCAGACUCCUACGGGAGGCAGCAGUAGGGAAUCUUCCACAAUGGACGAAAGUCUGAUGGAGCAACGCCGCGUGAGUGAUGAAGGUUUUCGGAUCGUAAAACUCUGUUGUAAGGGAAGAACACGUACGAGAGGGAAUGCUCGUACCUUGACGGUACCUUACGAGAAAGCCACGGCUAACUACGUGCCAGCAGCCGCAGUAA